This 429-nucleotide ribosomal RNA is filed under the name Gemmatimonadota bacterium. Its description in RNAcentral is "Gemmatimonadetes bacterium partial 16S ribosomal RNA". It matches the Rfam family "Bacterial small subunit ribosomal RNA", at positions 355 to 776 of the family's 1533-position model. Lineage: Bacteria; Pseudomonadati; Gemmatimonadota. The record is from RNAcentral.
UAGGGAAUCUUCGGCAAUGGACGAAAGUCUGACCGAGCAACGCCGCGUGAGUGAAGAAGGUUUUCGGAUCGUAAAACUCUGUUGUUAGAGAAGAACAAGGACGUUAGUAACUGAACGUCCCCUGACGGUAUCUAACCAGAAAGCCACGGCUAACUACGUGCCAGCAGCCGCGGUAAUACGUAGGUGGCAAGCGUUUUCCGGAUUUAUUGGGCGUAAAGCGAGCGCAGGCGGUUUCUUAAGUCUGAUGUGAAAGCCCCCGGCUCAACCGGGGAGGGUAAUUGGAAACUGGGAGACGUGAGUGCAGAAGAGGAGAGUGGAAUUACAUGUGUAGCGGUGAAAUGCGUAGAUAUAUGGAGGAACACCAGUGGCGAAGGCGGCUCUCUGGUAUGUAACUGACGCUGAGGCUCGAAAGCGUGGGGAGCAAACAGG